ACCUGGGUGGCUCAGUUGGUUAAGCAUCUGACUUCCGCUCAGAUCAUAAUCUCACAGGUGGUGGGUUUGAGCCCCACCUCAGAUG
This 85-nucleotide transfer RNA is filed under the name Felis catus (domestic cat). It matches the Rfam family "tRNA". Rfam says of the family: Transfer RNA (tRNA) molecules are approximately 80 nucleotides in length. Their secondary structure includes four short double-helical elements and three loops (D, anti-codon, and T loops). The record is from Rfam by way of RNAcentral. Lineage: Eukaryota; Metazoa; Chordata; Mammalia; Carnivora; Felidae.